CCAAGGCGCCCAGGGUUCGAUUCUUAGUCUCGUUGUCGUAUGUGAGUAGAGUUGCUUGCUGGUUCUCUCCUGUACUUCUUGGUUUUUCACCGGUUUUCUCUCCCGCAAAAACCACAAUUCGGCACUCCAAUGGGCAGUUAACGGUCACGUGUCUGUACUGAUCCUGCUAUCYACUAGGAAGAAGAAGUAAAGUGAGUCUGUAGUUGAAGUUUUCACUCUCAAAAGCGUGACACAACUCUUAUGGAGGAUGGAAACCUUCCUUCGAAGAAGAAUGCACCACCUUCAAAAGAACCGCCAUCUUUCUUUGAAAAAUAAAAAACAUCAAUUUCUUCCCGUUUUGAGGACAUUACCUCUUUCUACUAAAUCGUCCAGACACCUCAAAGGUUUGGUUUAAGAAUUCCAGUUUGAAACUCAAGUAGAUGGAAUUUAACUCAGCGUGUGUUUGAAAGAACUGACCAACUUGUAUGAUUAAAACCCGCUGGGAUUCAGGCCUUCGUCCAGCCCCACACCGAGCGCGCGAAUAAAGACRACACUAAGUGCCAUUCUCACUUUA
This is a long non-coding RNA of Actinia tenebrosa (Australian red waratah sea anemone), 553 nucleotides long. RefSeq lists it as uncharacterized. The record is from RefSeq and is a predicted model, not a curated record. NCBI's taxonomy places the organism in Eukaryota, Metazoa, Cnidaria, Anthozoa, Actiniaria, Actiniidae.